RNAcentral lists this ribosomal RNA (460 nucleotides) under uncultured bacterium. RNAcentral describes it as "partial 16S ribosomal RNA". It matches the Rfam family "Bacterial small subunit ribosomal RNA", at positions 338 to 795 of the family's 1533-position model. The record is from RNAcentral.
CCUACGGGUGGCAGCAGUGAGGAAUAUUGGUCAAUGGACGAGAGUCUGAACCAGCCAAGUAGCGUGAAGGAUGACUGCCCUAUGGGUUGUAAACUUCUUUUAUAUGGGAAUAAAACGUUCCACGUGUGGGAUUUUGUAUGUACCAUAUGAAUAAGGAUCGGCUAACUCCGUGCCAGCAGCCGCGGUAAUACGGAGGAUCCGAGCGUUAACCGGAUUUAUUGGGUUUAAAGGGAGCGUAGGUGGAUUGUUAAGUCAGUUGUGAAAGUUUGCGGCUCAACCGUAAAAUUGCAGUUGAAACUGGCAGUCUUGAGUACAGUAGAGGUGGGCGGAAUUCGUGGUGUAGCGGUGAAAUGCUUAGAUAUCACGAAGAACUCCGAUUGCGAAGGCAGUUCACUGGACUGCAACUGACACUGAGGCUCGAAAGUGUGGGUAUCAAACAGGAUUAGAUACCCCAGUAGUC